Molecule: ribosomal RNA, 1698 nt
Filed under: uncultured eukaryote
Lineage: Eukaryota
Description: SSU rRNA
Rfam family: Eukaryotic small subunit ribosomal RNA
Source: RNAcentral
AUUAAGCCAUGCAUGUCUAAGUAUAAACAAUUCUAUACUGUGAAACUGCGAAUGGCUCAUUAAAUCAGUUAUAGUUUAUUUGAUAAUUUCUUUCUACAUGGAUAACCGUGGUAAUUCUAGAGCUAAUACAUGCAUAAAAACCCGACUUCGGAAGGGUUGUAUUUAUUAGAUAAAAACCAAUGUGGGCAACCACUCCCUUGGUGAUUCACAAUAAGCAAGCAAAUCGCAUCGGCUUCGGCUAGGCGAUGAGUCAUUCAAGUUUCUGCCCUAUCAGCUGCGAUGGUACGGUAUUGGCCUACCAUGGCUUUGACGGGUGACGGAGAAUUAGGGUUCGAUUCCGGAGAGGGAGCCUGAGAAACGGCUACCACAUCCAAGGAAGGCAGCAGGCGCGUAAAUUACCCAAUCCCAACUCGGGGAGGUAGUGGCAAGAAAUACUUUGGUGGAGCCUUCGGGUUCUGCCGUGGAAUGAGCACAAUUUAAAUCCCUUAGCGAGGAUCAAUUGGAGGGCAAGUCUGGUGCCAGCAGCCGCGGUAAUUCCAGCUCCAAUAGCGUAUAUUAAAGUUGUUGCAGUUAAAAAGCUCGUAGUUGGAUUUCUUUUAUGUUAAGAGGGUUUGGGAUUGGUUAUAUCUUUUUGGUAUAAUCGUCCUUCCUCUUUCAUGAAACAUUUGUAUGUUGUUUCAACAUACAUCAUUUACUGUGAAAAAAUCAAAGCGUUCAAAGCAGGCUUUAUGCAAUGAAUGUCUCAGCAUGGAAUAAUAAUUUAAGCCAUCGUCUUAUUUUGUUGGUUUACAAGAUGAAGGAAUGUUUAAUAGGAUCAGUCGGGGAUAUCCGAACUUAGAAGUCAGAGGUGAAAUUCUUGGAUUUUCUAAAGUCGAACUACUGCGAAAGCAUUUAUCAAGGAUGUUUUCAUUAAUCAAGAACGAAAGUUUGGGGAUCGAAGAUGAUUAGAUACCAUCGUAGUCUAAACCAUAAACUAUGCCGAUUCGGGAUCGUCUUAUGAUAUACAUGUCAAAGGCGGCACCGUACGCGAAAGCAAAAUCUUUGGGUUCUGGGGGGAGUAUGAUCGCAAGGUUGAAACUUAAAGGAAUUGACGGAAGGGCACCAUCAGGCGUGGAGCCUGCGGCUCAAUUUGACUCAACUCGGGAAAACUCACCCGGCCCGGACACCGUAAGGAUUGACAGACUGAGAGCUCUUUCUUAAUUCGGUGGGUGGUGGUGCAUGGCCGUUCUUAGUUGGUGGAGCGAUUUGUCUGGUUAAUUCCGAUAACGAACGAGACUCUGGCCUAUUAAAUAGGCGAUAUAUUUAAAAGUAUAUCGCACUCCUUAGAGGGACAAGCGGCGUCUAGCCGCAUGAAAUAGAGCAAUAACAGGUCUGUGAUGCCCUUAGAUGUCCGGGGCUGCACGCGCGCUACACUGAAAGAAUCAGUGGGCGUUAUACCUAGCUCGGAAGAGCCGGGUAACCCAAGUAAAUUCUUUCGUGCUUGGGAUAGGGAAUUGCAAUUAUUUCCCUUAAACGAGGAAUUCCCAGUAAAUUCGGGUCAUAAGCUCGAGUUGAUUACGUCCCUGCCCUUUGUACACACCGCCCGUCGCUACUACCGAUUGGAUGACUUGGUGAGGUCUUAGGACUGAGGUGAAGGUGCCUGUAAUGGGUGCUUUUGCUUUGGAAAUUUGAUCAAACUACGUUAUCUAGAGGAAGUAA